Brassica oleracea var. oleracea is the source of this 492-nucleotide long non-coding RNA. RefSeq lists it as uncharacterized. Lineage: Eukaryota; Viridiplantae; Streptophyta; Magnoliopsida; Brassicales; Brassicaceae. The record is from RefSeq and is a predicted model, not a curated record. The transcript has 2 exons.
UUGCGGUCUAUAAAUAAUAAUCACCUAAAGUUCACAUAACUCCGAUUCCAAGUCUUGCAAAGUAGACAUACAAAGACAUACUAGCGAACUACAUAGUGAUGGCUAGGAUGUCAAGUACCUCGAAGCUCCUUGUGGUGAUGAUUUUCUCUUUCAUGGCGCUUUCCAUAAUCUCCCAUGCUCGAACUUUUUCUCCUGGUCGGAAAUUAACUGGUUAUCCGAUUCCGACGUACGGAGGUCCCCCGUACUCUCCUGUUCCUACGAGAUGUUUCAACCCACCUUAUUGUCGUCCAUGAGAGUUUCAGUUUGGUCACAUGAAUUAUUAUCUGAUAAAAUAAGGUUGGAUGUAUAUGGGUAUCUUCAUAUAUUUUUCAUCAUUGCUGGAGAAUAAGAUGCUUGUGUGAGACGAUGAAAAAAAAAAGAUGUUUGUGUGAGAUCCAUGUAAUAAAUAUAGCAGGUUGCUGUUUGCAAUGAAAUAAAUGAUAUUUAUGUAUC